This 578-nucleotide long non-coding RNA is filed under the name Homo sapiens (human). RNAcentral's name for it is "HSALNT0253263". The record is from RNAcentral. Lineage: Eukaryota; Metazoa; Chordata; Mammalia; Primates; Hominidae.
GCAAUACAGAAAGCAGCCUUUCCCCUGCUUUCAACAGUGUUUGAGAGGAUUCUGAAACUCUCUGUAGGCGAAAAAGAAGCCACCAAACUGACUCUGUUUCAAAUUUCUACUCUAAGUUAUUUCUCCUGUUCGUGUGAACCCUGGGACAGAACGGGUGUGUAUUCAUUUUAACCUUAGCUCAGAUGGACAGCUCCAGGUGUGUAAGUGGGUUGGUGGUGGCUGCCCAGAGAGGAGGAGAUAUUUCAGAUUUGGUUUCUCCAAGGUUGCACCAUUGAUUGCAUUCCAUGUACAUUAUGAUCCCAAAGUGUGUUUAAUCGAGAGCUACACAACAGUGCAAAGUGGCGGAUGUUAAUGUUGACUAGAACUUAACCUAUACGUUUUGAGUGCCUUCCUGGGGCCUGGAUUUUAACUGAGCAUCGUUAAUGUGAUGAAUUUCUCACUGUUAAUUAAAUGUUAUAAUGAGUCUUCAAUACUUUUAAAACCAGAAGAGAAGUAUUCUGUGAGAAAACUUUAUAUAUGUUUAAAAAACAAAAGAAUUCCAUCUUUCUGUUGACACUUUCCCCACACCUUUGUGCGGC